GAUGAACGCUGGCGGCGUGCCUAAUACAUGCAAGUCGAGCGAACAGACGAGGAGCUUGCUCCUCUGACGUUAGCGGCGGACGGGUGAGUAACACGUGGAUAACCUACCUAUAAGACUGGGAUAACUUCGGGAAACCGGAGCUAAUACCGGAUAACAUGUUGAACCGCAUGGUUCAACAGUGAAAGACGGUUUUGCUGUCACUUAUCGAUGGAUCCGCGCCGCAUUAGCUAGUUGGUAAGGUAACGGCUUACCAAGGCAACGAUGCGUAGCCGACCUGAGAGGGUGAUCGGCCACACUGGAACUGAGACACGGUCCAGACUCCUACGGGAGGCAGCAGUAGGGAAUCUUCCGCAAUGGGCGAAAGCCUGACGGAGCAACGCCGCGUGAGUGAAGAAGGUCUUCGGAUCGUAAAACUCUGUUAUUAGGGAAGAACAAAUGUGUAAGUAACUAUGCACGUCUUGACGGUACCUAAUCAGAAAGCCACGGCUAACUACGUG
RNAcentral lists this ribosomal RNA (497 nucleotides) under uncultured bacterium. Its description in RNAcentral is "partial 16S ribosomal RNA". It matches the Rfam family "Bacterial small subunit ribosomal RNA", at positions 28 to 507 of the family's 1533-position model. The record is from RNAcentral.